This 253-nucleotide ribosomal RNA is filed under the name uncultured bacterium. RNAcentral's name for it is "partial 16S ribosomal RNA". It matches the Rfam family "Bacterial small subunit ribosomal RNA", at positions 524 to 776 of the family's 1533-position model. The record is from RNAcentral.
UACAGAGGGGGCAAGCGUUAUUCGGAAUUAUUGGGCGUAAAGGGCGCGUAGGCGGCCUGGCAAGUGGAAGGUGAAAUCCCUCGGCUUAACCGAGGAACUGCCCUCCAAACUGCUUGGCUUGAGUCCGGGAGAGGUGAGUGGAAUUCCCAGUGUAGCGGUGAAAUUCGUAGAUAUCGGGAGGAACACCAGUGGCGAAGGCGGCGACCUGGACGGACACUGACGCUGAGACGCGAAAGCGUGGGGAGCAAACAGG